CCUACGGGAGGCAGCAGUGGGGAAUAUUGCACAAUGGGGGAAACCCUGAUGCAGCAACGCCGCGUGAGUGAAGAAGUAUUUCGGUAUGUAAAGCUCUAUCAGCAGGGAAGAAAAUGACAGUACCUGACUAAGCAGCCCCGGCUAACUACGUGACAGGAGACGCGGUAAUACGUCGGGGGCAAGCGUUAUCCGGAUUGACUGGGGGUAAAGGGAGCGGAGACGGCUGCGCAAGUCAGAAGUGCAAGCCCGGGGCUCAGCCGCGGGACUGCUUUUGAAACUGGGUAGCUAGAGUGCAGGAGAGGUGAGUGGAAUUCCAGGUGUAGCGGUGAAAUGCGUAGAGAUUAGGAGGAAAACCGGUGGCGAAGGCGGCUUACUGGACUGUAACUGACGUUGAGGCGCGAAAGCGUGGGGAGCAAACAGGAUUAGAUACCCCUGUAGUC
Molecule: ribosomal RNA, 440 nt
Filed under: uncultured bacterium
Lineage: Bacteria
Description: partial 16S ribosomal RNA
Rfam family: Bacterial small subunit ribosomal RNA
Source: RNAcentral